This is a long non-coding RNA of Chinchilla lanigera (long-tailed chinchilla), 2100 nucleotides long. RefSeq lists it as uncharacterized. The transcript has 2 exons. NCBI's taxonomy places the organism in Eukaryota, Metazoa, Chordata, Mammalia, Rodentia, Chinchillidae. The record is from RefSeq and is a predicted model, not a curated record.
CCCCGCCCCGUUCCCAGAAAUUCCGCCCGCCCAACGGCCCGCCCGGGUCGUGUUUCGCGGUGACGGGCAAUGAGACCGCGGGCGGGCCGGAGGCUGCAGGGUGCGAGCCGACGUAUUCAAGAGAUAAAGGCGAGGAAGUGAAGGUCCCGCGGGCGCGCAGCGGUCCGGAGCCGGGCUGCGCGGCGGCGCCUUCCGGGACGCGAAGUGACCGCCUCUCCGAGCUCGCCGGGCCGCGCCGAGGUCAGCCUGCGGGGCUCGGGCAGGAAAGUUGGCGCGGAGUGGGCCUGGGAGCGCGCGAGGCCCCGCGAUUGCAACUUUUUAGAAAUUAUCAGCACCAGCAGAACAAAGACCUUCUUCAGGGGGUGUGGGGAGAGGCUUGGCGGGCCGCUUAUCUGUCACCUUGUUUUUAUCGCAUCCCUGGGCAGGAGGACCCCCGCCCCGCUUAAACAGGGGCGCCCUGGCUAGUGGACCUGGCGAGCCCUGGCCGUGGCCCGGUCUCGAGCCCCGUGUUCUACCGCCUGGGGCGCAGCAUGGGGACCCCGCGUCCUCCCCGGGGCUCCUGCCCGCAGCCCCUGGCGGGCGGCGACCGGGCCCCGCGCAGCUGCCCCGGAGCCUUUGUCGCUGGCGCCGGAGGAGCAGCUCUGGUCCCAGCUUUGUUGGUGCGAGAAGGAGGGUUUGGGUGAAAGCGCCUGCGAAACUGGAACAGGAAAACCAAGCAGCAGCCGCCGCUUCUGGCUCCCACACUUUCACACAAAGGGGGACCUCGGAGCCAGGCACCGUGACGUGCCUUCAAGUGCGCAAAAGCCGAGAACACGGUGCCCUGGGUGUCCUGGAUGUCCUUCGUGCUUGGUUCUGCAUACAGAUGCCCCUGUCCCUGCCGCCACCGCGUCUUCGAUGUUUGCUUCUGUAACAAAGAGCCCGCUGGUCCGGAGCGCGCGGAGCCGCUCCGCUGCCCUGGACUCCGCGGCGACGUCGCCAGGGACCCUCACCGGGCGCAGUGCACACCGGGUCAUUUCUGGGCUCCAGCGUGAGUCUUUGCUGCUCUACGACUUUUGAAGGAUAAAGAAACUCCGAGCUGUUCUUGAGAGGAAGUGGGAGCUCUGGAGAUAACCCUAAAGCAGGGCUCAAAUAUAGAAAAACUACAGGAGGCUCCCCUGUCUUGAGACCCUGCAAAAUCUAAGAAUUUAAAAAUCUCCUUUUUAAAGCUAUGUAUAGUACUUUGGGUAAUUCUUUCUUUGCAAUUUUAAGAAGUAACUCUGGGAGGCUCCUAUUCUUAUUUAAAAAAUUUUUUUUCUUAAAUGCAGAAAAGCAUGAUGGUUAAUGAGAGAUCUCAACUCUGACAAAGUUUUGUGAAUUCCUCGGCUCUAAAACAUGUUAACAGCUGGUGUGGUCGUGCAUGCCUGUAAUCCCAGCACUCGGGAGGCUGAGGCAGGAGAACUGUCGUGAGUUCAAGGCCAGCCCAGGCUACAUAGUGGGUUCAAGCCAAAGGAACGUGGGCAGAAGUGACAGUGUGAUCGUUCAGAGCCUGGUCUCCAGAAAUACUGCAUGUUAAUGCCUGCCUCCCCAGCGCGCCUGUCUUUCACAAUGUUAAGAACAUGCCUGAGGAGUCCACUGUCCAAGAAUAUGGAAUAGGUCUUCCUCAACUUGCAGCUAGUGAAUUGUAGAGAAAAGGGUGUUGCUUUAAAAUACCUCUGUUUAGGGGUGGUACACGUCCUAGAAUUAGUGUUUCAUUACUGAUAUAAUAGUAAAUAGAGUAAACUGCUCCCUUGGGGUUGGCCAUAGAGGUCUCCACCUUGAUGUGUGUAAGACAGCUCUUUCCUAUUGGAUCUCAGACACAGCCCCUGUGGAGGCAGGCCAAGUAAGCAAGCCAGAAAGUUUGUAGCAAUGCAUUCUGAACAGAUUGGGGUCAGUAGGAGGCACCUGCUGUGUUUGUUAGUCCCCAAAGCAAGCUAAUGAUUAUGGAGUAUAUCUCUAUGUUACUUUUGCCUCUAUUUUUUUAUAUCACACAAUUUAUUUUCUAAUCAUGCAAAUGAUUCAUUAAUACAUGCAGGUAUAAAUAGGAUCGCCUUGUGUGUGUUAAGUAAAAUGCUGUUACACUUA